This is a long non-coding RNA of Syngnathoides biaculeatus (alligator pipefish), 947 nucleotides long. RefSeq lists it as uncharacterized. The record is from RefSeq and is a predicted model, not a curated record. The transcript is spliced from 3 exons. NCBI's taxonomy places the organism in Eukaryota, Metazoa, Chordata, Actinopteri, Syngnathiformes, Syngnathidae.
AAACCGCAAAAAAAGAUAUUCAUUACAACUUUAAAGGUCAAGUGUCAUCCCUAUAAACAUUCUAAUAUAGAUAUUGAAAUGAAAAAUACAUAUAACAUUAUUCACUUCAAUGUCUAUACAAAAAAAUAUGAGUGGAGAGCACGUCAUCUAUGCGCAAACUUGCGGAAGUCUCAUUCGACAUCCAAGUGGUCGUCUUGUUGGCUGCAUCUCCUGCCCGUGACGUCACCCCGGACAUUCGCCAUUGAAAACACGCUGUAACCCCUACUGUGGGAGACGAACACGCCCCUUCAGACACGGAAGCUCUUUUACAAGAAGAGAACAUCUCGCAACCGAGUGAAGUUUCCGGGGCAAUAUUACUCUAUUGUUUUGAGCCGUAUUUAGAUGAUAUGCGGAUCACGGCCAAACCACCUCUGCGCGACGGUGAUAAAAACAACACUGCGAGCGACGAUGACACAGCAGCCAAACCACCUCCCAGUCCGAUCCACUUCCGCGGCGGAGAUGAGCCCAGCCGCGACGAGCCACCCCGGCCGACAUCCUCCCGAGUGUUCGAGCAAUAUCCAGCAAUGCAACGAGCCGGCAUUUUGGCUGAAACGAAGGAACAACAAGCUAUCUUCGCGCAGACAGGCAGUGGGACUUGAGGGGAACCUGCCGUCCUGAUGAAAUCGAGGACCUGAGUCUGUUAAGGGGAAACCUGGAAGAGAUCGCUGAGAACGAGUGGAUGUUGGGCCCGUUGUUACCGAGGGAGCAGCACUGAGGACGUCUGCGACAGCAGUUUGAAAAAAAAAAAAAAUGUGGUGGAAUAGUUGUGGUUUACCCAAACUGGCAUAGCACAUACUUUUAGCACAGAUUCAAGGGAGAUCCAACUAAAGGCUGUUCUGACUACAGUAGUUGCUAAAUUUGGUUUGAAGUGACUUAUUUACAGGUGGGGGUGGGGGGGGGGCAUGUAA